GAUGAAGAACGUAGCGAAAUGCGACAAGUAAUGUGAAUUGCAGAAUUCCGUGAAUCAUCGAAUCUUUGAACGCACAUUGCGCCCGCCAGUAUUCUGGCGGGCAUGCCUGUUCGAGCGUCAUUACAACCCUCAGGCCCCCGGGCCUGGCGUUGGGGAUCGGCGGAGCCCCCCGUGGGCACACGCCGUCCCCCAAAUACAGUGGCGGUCCCGCCGCAGCUUCCAUCGCGUAGUAGCUAACACCUCGCGACUGGAGAGCGGCGCGGCCACGCCGUAAAACACCCAACUCUUCUGAAGUUGACCUCGAAUCAGGUAGGAAUACCCGCUGAACUUAAGCAUAUCAAUAAGCGGAGGA
This 352-nucleotide unclassified non-coding RNA is filed under the name soil metagenome. RNAcentral describes it as "partial contains 5.8S ribosomal RNA, internal transcribed spacer 2, and large subunit ribosomal RNA". The stretch from base 1 to 120 matches the Rfam family "5.8S ribosomal RNA", at positions 35 to 154 of the family's 154-position model. The record is from RNAcentral.